RNAcentral lists this ribosomal RNA (448 nucleotides) under uncultured bacterium. RNAcentral describes it as "bacterial SSU rRNA". It matches the Rfam family "Bacterial small subunit ribosomal RNA", at positions 329 to 794 of the family's 1533-position model. The record is from RNAcentral.
CACCAGACUCCUACGGGAGGCAGCAGUGAGGGAUAUUGGUCAAUGGGGGAAACCCUGAACCAGCAACGCCGCGUGAGGGAAGACGGUUUUCGGAUUGUAAACCUCUGUCCUCUGUGAAGAUAAUGACGGUAGCAGAGGAGGAAGCUCCGGCUAACUACGUGCCAGCAGCCGCGGUAAUACGUAGGGAGCGAGCGUUGUCCGGAUUUACUGGGUGUAAAGGGUGCGUAGGCGGCCCUGCAAGUCAGAAGUGAAAUCCAUGGGCUUAACCCGUGAACUGCUUUUGAAACUGCAGGACUUGAGUGGAGUAGAGGUAGGCGGAAUUCCCGGUGUAGCGGUGAAAUGCGUAGAGAUCGGGAGGAACACCAGUGGCGAAGGCGGCCUGCUGGGCUUUUACUGACGCUGAGGCUCGAAAGUGUGGGGAGCAAACAGGAUUAGAUACCCUCGUAAC